Molecule: long non-coding RNA, 9566 nt
Organism: Haemorhous mexicanus (house finch)
Lineage: Eukaryota; Metazoa; Chordata; Aves; Passeriformes; Fringillidae
Exons: 6
Source: RefSeq, a predicted model, not a curated record
CCCGGCCCCGCCGCGGGACAGCCGCGCUCCCGCCGGGUGUCCCGGGCGGAGAUGGGCUGGGUUAGACGGGGCAGGGCAAACGCCGACCCCGCCGUCCCGAGGGCUUCCCCCGUCCCGCCGGGGCAGGCGCCUCACCUGGUGCUCCUCCAGCUCCUCCACCAGUACCUGGGGACAGAGGGACACACAGACACACACAAAGGACGUGAGUCCGGCGACCGCAGCGCAGCGGCUCCGCCGCCCCGUCCCGUCCAGUCCCGUCCCGUCCCGUCGCCGCCCGCCCGGCCCGGCCGGAGCGCCGGCUCCGCGCUCACCUGGGCGGAUUUCUUGCAGGGUCCGGACUGCAGGAACCGUGCGAUCAGAAAUGCCAAAUCCAGCUGUGGAUGGAACACCCAGGAAAAGGGGUGGCUCUGUGUCCCUGUGUGCUCUGGGCUCUGCCAGUCGAAGGACCGGGGGAAUGAUAUCAGUGUCAGGUCCAUCCUCAGAUCUCUGAAUUCCAACUUUGUACCUCAGAGUGCCUGGAAUGCCCAAGUUUUAUAGCAGCAAAUUUACUACUGGGUGUAAGUGACCAGUUUUUAGGGCCAAAUCCUGCAUUUUGGGCUUCUCCUGGAAGCCUGGGCACAAAGCAUCUGACUGCAGCUGGGAAUUCAUCACCUCUCUCCCUGGACAUGCAAAUUUCACUGGAACUCCCUCAGCUAACUUCCUGAAUUUUUGCCCUGUUACUAGGUGCUGAUGCAGAUGUAAGAAAUAUUUUAAUUUCUCUCAGCAAUGAAAUGAAACAGAACAUGACCAGACCUCCAGAAGAAGGAAAAACGUGUUUGCUGGAGGGCAGGAAAACCCUGGAGCUGCUGAUAACUACAAGUCAUUCUGAUGAGAUCAGAAAAAGUGGUUCAAAAGGAAUGAGGUUAUGAAGCACGAAAAAAUACUCCAAAACAACUAUGGAGGAGGGAAGAGGAAUUUCUGCUCUGACCCUGGCACAGCAUCCAGACACUGCCUCUCUCCUUCCCAUCGGUAUUUCCUUGCAAUCCCAGAUCCUCUGCAGCCUCUGGUCAUUGGGAGAGCAGGGAAUAGCUGCUGCGGCUCACUGCUCCCGGCAGCGCGGGAGGGAUGAGCCGAGACUGAAAUCGUUUCCUACCAUUCAUGUCAGGACGACUCCAAGACCGGCUCCGGUUCCAUCCACAUCACUCCUGCACCCCAUCGCUGCAAGGAAAAGUAAUCACUUGUCUUACCUCCGGGUUUAAUUAGUCCCUGCUCCGGGGCUAAUUAGGAGCGCGGUCCGCGCGGAGGUCGGGGCCGGAGCCCUCCCUCCCUCUCCCGCUCCCGUUCCCGCUCCUGCCGCCACUCCCGCUCCCAUUCCCGCUCCUGCUCCCGCUCUGUGCCAUCUGCCAUUGCCAUGACACUGGCUUUGCUUUUCACGGCUGGCUGGGCGCGCUGGAUGCGCGGGGUAAUGGGGCUAUUUUUCCCCCCUUGGUCUUUGGAAAGGAAAUAAUAAUAAUAAUAAACCCAGGAAUGGCUGGAACUGCUGCACACUGCCCUUUUCCUUCCCACUUUUGAAGCUUUUUAGCAUUCAGUUUUCCAGCAAUUGGGAGGAAAAUUGCCCUGAAAGAAAGAAAGAAACAAAAAUCUGUGUUAUUUUUUAAACACCCCCCCCCCCCCCACCCCCCGCGCCACACAGGCAGCUGCAGAGAAUUUCUCUUCCAAAGGGAUGAUGUAAUGGGCUUUGUCAGCCAAUGCUGGAAUGAAUAAAACCCGAGACCCGAAAUCCAUCCAGGCUUUUGAUGAAACUCCUGAGGUUCCUGGAGCCUCAGGAGUGGUCGCCAAAAUAGGCUGGAACUGCUGGUUUUGUCAUGCAGCUCUUGAGAAAAGUGAGAUGGAGAGUCAAGGGCUCCAACCAGGGAAUAACCAAAACCACCAGGUUUUGUCCCUGCUGAGGGAAAGGGGACCUUGUGGGGCAUCUGGGGACACUCAGUGAAGGGGUGCACAGCCCUUGGUGCCAGGACAUCAGUCCAAGAUUCAACACAGAAUCACUCCUGAUCUGAACAUGGCACCUACAAUCACAUUUUAUAGAGAGAUAGAUGUGUGUAUUUAUUAUUAUGUAUAUUAUAUAUAAUUCAAUAUUAUUGCCCAGAGAAGCUGUGGCUGCCCCAUCCCUGGGAGUGUCCAAGGCCAGGUUGGACAGGGCUUGGAGCAACCUUGGGGCUAGUGGAAGGUGUCCCUGUCCAUGGCAGGAGGUGGGACUUGAUGGGUUUGUGGUCCCUUCCUACCCAAAGCAGUUGGGGAUUCUGUGAUAUAUAUAAAACAUAAAUAUAUAAACUAUACACAAGUAUCACCAAUUCCUGCUGCAGCAAUGGGCACAUUGUUGCUCUCCCGAGGAUGUCAUGGGCUGCUGAGGCCAGGAGAUCUCUCACUCUGUGACUGAUCCCAAGUCUUUGCUAGCUUUCUUUGGGGCCCCUUUAGGCACUGGAAGACGCUCUAAGGUCUCCCAGAGUUUUCUCCAGAGCACCCCCAGCUCUCCCAGCCUGUCCUCAUAGGACACACUGCACUGUUCCUGUCACCCCAAAUUUCUGCAGCAAAGAGGCUGCAGGGCAGGCAGGGAGAGCUCCCUGCAUUCCAGAAGGUUCCAGCUCUUUCAGGGACAUCACACUUCCAGGUGAUGGAGGAGAAUCAUGGAUACAUUUUGUCUUGGCUGCUCUCUGGCCCCUGCUUGUGCAUUCUUGCUGGGCAUCCCUGCAGCAGGAGCUGGGACAGAGCUGCUGCCACCAUCCCCCAGCCCUGUGGAGCCACCAGCACGGUGCCACAUCCAGUUACACCCUGAGAGCUGUGGUACCUGCUCCCAGUCCCCAUGCCGCCACCCCAGCAGCUGGAUAACCCCAAAUUCCCAGGGAUGACCUCGCUGUGUGUGCAGAGCAGCCGUGCAGGAGCCCCCAGCCAGGACCACCACCUAGAGGCUACAGCACCAAGUGAAGCCAAGAAGAUUUACAGCUAAGAUGGGCCACAAAGGAGGUUGGAAAUAAUUCCCAAGCCCAAAUGGAGCAGCACUGGGAGAUGGGAAUCUAGACUCCCUCUCCAGCCCAGUGGUGGCCAUCACAUCACCUUCAGCACCAGCAGCACUCAACAAACCUGGGCCCUAGGGUGGCAUUUGGGGAGGGAGUUUUGCCAAGAACAGGAGGAUGUGGUGCCCUUUUCCUCCUGGGAACAAUUCACCUCCAAUGGAGAAUAUUUCCAGGAACACACCUGCACAGGGGGAUGUGCACAAACCAGGUCAGUGGCACAGGGCUUGGCAGGGACACAAGUGGUACCUUGGGUACAUCCAUGCUGUGUGUCUGUCCCCACCAACAGCCACAUACAGUGAACAGCAGGGAAGGUUUCCUCCUUUCAAAGUGCCCAGAAUGUGGCUGGAGGGGCUCAGACCAAAGGGGAAGUACAAACCUGUGCCCCCUCACCCCCCAGCUCCUUCCAGAGGUCCAGGGCUGGGAACAACUCCAGGUCCUCUCCAACACCCAUGGGUUGCUGGUCCUGCACUGGUGACAUGUCUUUGUGUCUCACAGCCCCACCGGAUCAUCCUCCAAGAAUUUGUGUAAUCACUUCCUAAGCCAUUAUGAUUCCUGGGCUCCAUUUGGGCAAUGAGUUACAUGGUUUAAUUACUCAUUGUGUGAAAUAUCCUCGUUUUGCAUCUGCCACUCUGUAAUUUCAUUUGGGGCCUCUUUGUUUGCUUUGUGUCCCCACACAAGAGCCACCAACCCCUAUUCACUGUCCCUGUGCCACUGCACCAGGGAAUACAAAUCCCACAUCCUUCUCCCUCCUGUCUGUCAAUUCUUUGCAAGACAAAAAGGGUAAUUUAUUUAAUUGUUGCUGAUAUAAUGUCCUAAAAGUCUCCUUUCCCCUCCAACAGUUAAUUACACUUGUUAAUUAUUUUAAUUAUUCCCAGGGUAAUGCUGUAGGUAUAGAGUAGCAUAGGAGUAAACACGGAGUGAGGAAGUUGGGGUUUACUCCAAGAUCUCAGUUGAUAACCAGGCUGUAAUCACAUGGGUGGUGAAACCACAGCAGGGAAUGUUUGGCCUGGAUUUGGAACUUUCUGUUGGCAGCAUGGAAGGAUUUAUAGGAAGAGACGGCAGAUCCUGCAGGAUUGCCCUCGGAUGAGGCUCGGAGAGGUGACUCCAGCCGUUCUCUCCAGGCAGAGCCAGCACAAAAUGGAACCAUGGCUUGGGGAAGUAUUUUUGGUCAGCACCUCCGUGAUGGUGGAUUUAUAUGAAGGAAGAAACCAAACCAAGCAAAAUUCCAGCCCGCUGGAAAGCUGAGGCUCAGCCUGAGGCUUCAGAACAGCCCACCUCCACUCCAGCCAUGUUCUGAGGGGAGCGGUGGCCCUGGAUCCAUGAAACAGCAAAACUCGUUUGUGGUCCCACAGAGCAGCCUCUGCCAGCGCCCCUGGAGCCAGGGUGAAACCCGAGAGCUGCCGCAAUCCAAACCUUCUCCACAGCUCCUUUUAUCUUCCUGGGGGGAAAACAAACAGCGCAGAAGCCGGAGCUUUGUGGCUGGGAUGUUGCACAUCUGGUUUGAGCUCCAAGAAAUGCACUUCCACCCCCUCCCCGAAUUGUUCAUGUUAAACAAACAAAACCCCAGCGAUUUUGUGAGAUUUUGGCUCUGGGAUAACUUUGGAGCAGCUUUUUCUGAGAAUUCCAGGCUUGUGCUGCACUUCAUCCCCAGUGGAAGCAGCACACCUCGCUCGCCAGGAGGGAGGCACUUCCAAAGGGGAACAGCCAUGCCCUGGAACCCCCUUACCGGGAAUGCUGCUGGGAGUGGGAGGGGAGAGGGGUCUUGACCACUCUGUGUUUCGGUUUCAAUCCAGCAUUUUUCCCUGUGUAAUUUAUGCUUCCUCUCCCUCUUUUAAGAACGUCUGGAAUUGUUUAAGAUGUGUCCAAUUGUAUUAAGUUGCCUUUGAGAGCUUUAUGGUGUCAAUUGGAUUUCCACUCUUAGGAACAGAGCUUUCCAAUUUGCUGUUUUUCCCUUUUCUAUCACAUCAGCACCAACAUCUUUUCAGUGCUUUCAGGUGUUACCUCAGCUUGAAGUUCACACGAAUCCCUGAACAUCACUUCCAUUUGACACUGUUCCAGUGAUUCCCUGGUUGGUGCUGCAGGAGGGAGUGUCAUUCCUCUGGGGUCCUGUCCCACUGGCUCCUCCCUGUCAUCUUCCAGCAGAGGUGGAUAAAUCAGGGCAGAUCAUGGAAUCAUGGAAUCACAGAGUGGUUUGGGUGGGAAGGGACCUUAGAGCCCAUCUCAUUCCCUGCCAUGGGCAGGGACACCUUUCAUAAGACCAGGUUGCUCCAAGCCCCGUCCAGCCUGGCCUUGGACACUUCCAGGGACUGGGCAGCCACAGCUUCUCUGAAAAGAGAUGAAAGGUGUGGGUGAAGGGAUUAGGAGCAGUUCUGAUCCUCUCCCUAUCCCCUCCUUGACUCACCCUAGCCCAGUCCCAAUCACACCACUUCCAAAGCGGGGGACAACAGCCACACGAGUGACCAGUGACAUCUGUCCCCUUCUCCAUGCUCACUUGUGACCACCUCCAGCUCCUCCGGGCACUGGGGCAGUCUGGAAGCCACGCUGCCAUUGUUCUCUCAAAGGACAGAGCUCCUCGAAAGCCGCCCAGCGCCGGCCCGGGGUGUUCCCAGCUGCUGGAGCCCAUCCAGGGCAUCAAGUUUCAGAGCGGGGGUGGGGGGGGGCUCCCGGCAGCUGCACGGGAAAGGAGCAGCACCACUGAGACAGUCAGAGGGAGGAGCCAUCGUUUCCAUUGCAGAGAUUCAAUUUUCUUCCCCCUUCAUCAGAUUAACACCAGUGUCACUCCAUUAACUGCCAGGGAGCUGCUCUUGAUCUGAAAAUCAGACCUGUCUGAGUGUCACAGAAUCCCAGACUGGUUUGAGUUGGAAGAGACCUCAAAUAUCCUCUAGUUCUGACCCCUGCCAUGGGCAGGGACACCUCCCACUCUCCCAGAUUGUUCCAAGCCCCAUUCAGCCUGGCCUUGGACACCUCCAGGGAUAGGGCAGCCACAGCUUCUCUGGGCACCCUGUGCCAGGGCCUCCUCCCCCUCAUGGGGGAGAAUUUCUUCCCAAUAUUCAAACUAAAUCUAUCCUCCACCUUAAAGCCCUUUCCCUUUGUCCUGUCCCUCCAACCCUUGUUCAAAGGCCCUCUCCAGCUCUCCUAGAGCCUCUUCAGGCACUGGAAGGGGGCUCUAAGCUUUCCCCAGAGCUUUUCUUUCCCACGUGAACAUGCCCAGCUCUCCCAGCCUGGCUCCACAGCAGAGGGGUUUUCUUAUUUUUUUGUGUACAGUCACUUCCCUCAAAGAAGCAAAGGUAAAUGUGGGAUGAACCUGCAAAAUCCUUCCUUUUAUGUGCUUGGAGGGGUUGUUUUAUUUUAUUUUCCCCAUUUCCCCCUUUUUUUUACAUCCCAAGGACCUCACUGUGUUUGCCAUUCUCUUGCUUGCUGAGGCAGCAGUGCCUUUUCCCUCUGUGCUGCUCCAGCACGUUGCUGAUGGUGGAGACCAGGAUGAAGUCUGGAGGUGCCUCCUCUGAUUUCCCAGCCCUCCCAGGACAGUGACCAGUGUUUUCAAAGUGGUUUUCAGUGGGUUUAUUGUUCUGAGCAAACAAAAGCAAAUGCUUGCCCAGUUCUGUUGAAGAUCCUGUGAGGACACUGUGUGAGGACACUGUGCUGCUCUGGGAGCCUGCACCAAAAGCUGGAUCAUGGAAUUACAGGAACUUUUAGGUUGGAAAAGCCCUCCAAGCCCAUUGAGUCCAACUGUUCCCCCAGCACUGACAAGGCCACCACUGGCCAUGUCCCCAAGUGCCACAUCCACAGUUAAAUCCCCCCAGGGAGGUGACUCCAGCCUGUGCCAGGGCUGGACAACCCUUUUUUCCCUAAUAUCCAACCUAAACCUUGUCUGGUGCACCCUGAGUCGGUCUCCUCUCCUCCUGACCAGCUGCCUGGUCACCUCACCAUGCCAGGGUAUUGCCAACGCCACUCAAAUCUCUUCCCAUGACAUCACCUCAGAACCAUCACUGCCUUCACACCCAGGAAUCUCUUCACCUUUGCAUCUUCAAGGUCCCCAGUUGUUAUGAUGAAUAAUGAUAACCAGAUCCACAGCAAUCUGUGGGUGUUUCCUAACCAGCAUCAGACCCAGUAACAUCUGGAACCCAGGGAACAGAUCGGCAAGGACCCUUUCUCCACAAAUUCCAAAUAAACCUGAGAGUUUGAAAUCUCUCCUUUUCAGACAAAAUAAGCCAAGCUUGGGAGCUGCCAUGGAGCUGGCUUUGGAUUGUGUCUAGACACCAGGAGAGCCGUGGAGAAGGGUUUGGCAUAAACCAGACAAUCCAUUCAGUUGUGCAACUUUCUCAAUACCCCAUGGCUCCGAAAAGUUAUGAAUUUGAGCAAAAUGUUCUUGGGCAAUUUUCUGUGCUUAUUUAAAAGAGGAAUUUGAUUAGAACAAUAGUUAUAGAAUUAAGAACAACUCCCACCCUGGAAUUCAAAAAAGAAAUAACCAAAACCAAACAGCUGUAUGCUCUGUGUAACAACCUCUGGACUCAGAUGGAGAGACACAACUUGGGAUCAGAAUGACCUCAUUCCAAAGGGUGUUUGUACCUUGGCAGAUGGAUGGAUCCUGUGCUAAGGAAAUAUCAACUGUACUCAGUGUCUGCUGCUUAAAUCACAAUGCUUGAGACAUUCAGUGACGAGGCUGGAGCCAAAGAGAGGGAGGAGCCAUGGUCCCACGGCACCAGGGCUGGGAGAAGGGGCUCUUUCAGAGAAACCACUAGGGUAGGAAAUAACACAAAUCUAAAAUAUUUCUAAUAUGCAUUCUCUCCCUGGAGCAGGCCUAUUGGGUUUUCUCACUGACUGCUGGCUAAACUUAUGGAAUCAUGGAAUCCUGGAAUGAUUUGGGUGGGAAGGGAAUUUAAGAGAUCAUCUAAUCCACCCCCUGGAUUAGAUGAUGUCCACCCUAUGGGCAGGUGCACCUUCCCCUAUCUCAGGCUGCUCCAAGCCCCAUCCAGCCUGGCCUUGGACACUUCCAGGGAUCCAGGGGCAGCCACAGCUUCUCUGGGCACCCUGUGCCAGGGCCUGCCCACCCCACAGGGAAUAAUUCCUUCCCAAUAUCCCAUCUAACCCUGAUUUCUGUUUAAAAUAAUUUCCCCUUAUCCUGUCACUAUGUGGCUGUAUGAAAGGUCCCUCUCUCUCCUCCUUACAGGCUCCCUUAGGCACUGGAAGGGGCUCCAAGGUCUCCAGAGCUAACUCUUUUCCAGACUGAACACCCCCAGCUCUCCCAGCCUGUCUUUGUGGAGUGGAGAUUUGGUGAAUCAUUUUUAGAUGUCAGUCAGGAUGACAUUUGAACUGUUGUUGGACCAUGUUCCAACUGGGAUGUUCAGUCUCCCUGCUUUUACCCACAUCUCAGCACACUUCCACCAGGCACAGGGAAUCCAGUUACUGCUCCAUCAGUUUUCACUGGAGGAGAGACCAGAGCAUGGUCCAAAAUCUCUGCUGGAUUAAGGGAAUACAGUGCCAAGGAAAAGGCCCCCCAGAACUCCCUCACCUUCACUGCUGAGGAAGCUGGAGCCCAGUGAGCCCCGAGUGUUUGUACAGAACAGGUAGAGCAGCAGGAAUAACACUCCCCAGUGCCUCAGGCCUGGAAAAUGAAAUCCACAUUUAGACAUCCUCUAGUGGCCCUGGGGGACUCAUCCUGAGCCCCACUGCAUCCAAGACACUCUCACUGAGGUGCUCUUUGGGGUUUGGACACAAAAUACUUGAGCUCUUGGAUUGCUGGGCUGAGGAACAAUUUAAUGGGAGAGAGGUUUCUGCAUUGCAGACAUUUUUCUUCUUAUUAAAUAUAUCCUGUAGAUAUAUCCUGGAUGUGAAGAGACUUUCUAUAAAAGCAGGUUUUAGCAGGAGUUGAUAAAGUUGCACAAAAAAGCUGUAACAACAGAACUGGGACUUAACCCCAGGUCACUGGUCUGGUCCAGUUCUUUCCCAGAAUGAGGAGGCCUGGAUUAAUGGGAAGUCACACAACUGAGGCAGAGAGGGGCUUCAGCCCCAGCCAAAAGGCCAAAACUCUCCAGCUCCAUGGGCUCUCCCUCUCCCACUGCAGCUCUCCUGGAAUUUGGGACCUUUCCAGCAGCACAAGCAACAAACCACAAUCAGCUUUUGAGGAGUCUUUUUUAUUAAGAUAAAUCCAGCAAAAUUCCUAACAGUGGGUACAUACAACCAACCUGCCCUUUUUGAAAAGAAAUGUUUGUAUUUCAUUUAAAAACAGGAUUACACUUUUAUUUAUUUAUUUUUCUUUUUUUUUUUCAAAACUGACAAAAUAAAAUUACAUUUGGGAAACAACAGAUUUCCAGCUCUUAGGUUUUUUCAUGAAAAUAGCUCACCUUCUUUAUAAAAGCAACCCACAGAACCACUGGAAUGUUUCACACGGUUAUUUGUUUUGAGACCUCCCCACUUUAAGAAACCAUACAACACAUACAAGGGAAAAAUUAAAAUCUGAAGUCUGUAAGCAUGACUUACACAAAAAGGGACACACUGACAGAAGUCAAAAGCUAC